Molecule: ribosomal RNA, 466 nt
Filed under: uncultured bacterium
Lineage: Bacteria
Description: bacterial SSU rRNA
Rfam family: Bacterial small subunit ribosomal RNA
Source: RNAcentral
UGGAGGAAAGUAGGGGAUCGUAAGACCUCGCGUUGUUAGAGCGGCCGAUAUCUGAUUAGCUAGUUGGUGGGGUAAGGGCCUACCAAGGCGACGAUCAGUAGUUGGUCUGAGAGGACGACCAGCCACACUGGGACUGAGACACGGCCCAGACUCCUACGGGAGGCAGCAGUGGGGAAUUUUGGACAAUGGGCGCAAGCCUGAUCCAGCAAUGCCGCGUGAGUGAAGAAGGCCUUCGGGUUGUAAAGCUCUUUCAGUCGAGAAGAAAAGGCUGCAGUGAAUAACUGUAGUUUAUGACGGUAUCGACAGAAGAAGCACCGGCUAACUACGUGCCAGCAGCCGCGGUAAUACGUAGGGUGCGAGCGUUAAUCGGAAUUACUGGGCGUAAAGGGUGCGCAGGCGGUUUUGUAAGUCAGAUGUGAAAUCCCCGGGCUUAACCUGGGAAUUGCGUUUGAAACUACAAAGCUAA